This is a long non-coding RNA of Hydra vulgaris (swiftwater hydra), 770 nucleotides long. RefSeq lists it as uncharacterized. The record is from RefSeq and is a predicted model, not a curated record. Lineage: Eukaryota; Metazoa; Cnidaria; Hydrozoa; Anthoathecata; Hydridae.
AAAAAUUUAAAAAACGUAUUUAACUUUAUAUUUAAAAACCACAAGCAAAAGAAUACAGUAAACAAUAUGACUAUUAAUAUGCUCGAUGCAUAACAUACUUAAAUCCGAAACACAAACCAAGGGAGUAGCAAGUAGAGCUCCGCUAUGCGGAAUCUAUUCAGGGAGUCGCGUCCCUGCUCCUUAAGCGAGCUAAUAUGGAUAUCAAAAUAGAAAAGUUCUUGAUUCUGUCACUAAUGAUGACGUACAGGUUAUUAGAUAUGUUAUAAUUUUGCUCAUGAUAUAUUCUUUGAAUUGCGAAACGAAUUGACUUUUCAAAAAAAGAAACUCACGUUUCAAGAAAUUUCAUCUCCGGGUUAAAUCUAUUUCGAUACAAAUUAACCCUGGGAUAUGGCGAAAUAGGGAAUAAACAUUUGAAAUUUAAACACUCUAAAUAUACGUUAGAUGUACUUAUGCUUACAAUUUCUAUCUAUCUAUAGCCUGUCGUGACUACAGAAAUGUAAUGUAUGCUUUUCUCAAGACGUAAAAUUUAAAAAGUAAGACAAAAGAUUUUGAUUAUAAAGCAAAGAUAAAGACUCAAAAGUUCCAAGACACCGAGAUCACGACCUGUCGUGACUUUGAAUUUUAAAACUAAGAAAUAAACAAGUAGGCAUGGAGGCGAGACGUAUCAUGAUUACUGAAUUAUAAAAAAUGUAAAGACUACGUGAGUGAAAAAUGUAAACGUUAUAAAUAUAUUAAAGAUACAUAACAUUUAAAAUAUUAUAUCAAAUUUA